GGAUGUGAGAGGGAUCUGACUGCAACAUGUGUCAUUGCAUUGAUCGCCAGGGUUGAUUUGGCUGAUCUGGGUGGCUAGGCAGGGUCCACUUCUUCCCUUCAGAUCCGUGUGCUUUCCUCCAAAGUUGUGUACUUGGUGAAAAAGAACAACCAAUCAUCAUCAUCAUCAUCAUCAUCAUCAUCCAAUGUCGUUGUGUUAAUAAUAAUAAUAAUAAUAAUUUAUGUAUAACCCUCCCUCUUUCCCCAAAGUGACUCAGGGUGGUUGCACUCAGUCAUAGAAGGAAUGUACUGAGGUCUACAUCUUUUGUCCCCAGUAUAUGAUACUUGUACUCCCCUGCUAGAGCCUCCAAAGAAGCUCAAGAAUUAGGGUGGGACAAAUAUCUGCACACAUAUGCUUAUAUAGGUAGAUACACGUUUGUAG
This 420-nucleotide small nuclear RNA is filed under the name Anolis carolinensis (green anole). RNAcentral's name for it is "7SK RNA". It matches the Rfam family "7SK RNA". Rfam says of the family: 7SK was discovered as an abundant small nuclear RNA in the mid-70s but a possible function has only recently been suggested. Two independent studies have found that 7SK RNA binds the CDK9/cyclin T complex (known as elongation factor P-TEFb). Lineage: Eukaryota; Metazoa; Chordata; Lepidosauria; Squamata; Anolidae. The record is from Rfam by way of RNAcentral.